This 472-nucleotide ribosomal RNA is filed under the name uncultured bacterium. Its description in RNAcentral is "partial 16S ribosomal RNA". It matches the Rfam family "Bacterial small subunit ribosomal RNA", at positions 28 to 507 of the family's 1533-position model. The record is from RNAcentral.
GACGAACGCUGGCGGCGUGCUUAACACAUGCAAGUCGAACGCUGAAGCUUGGUGCUUGCACUGGGUGGAUGAGUGGCGAACGGGUGAGUAAUACGUGAUUAACCUGCCCUUGACUCUGGGAUAAUCCUGGGAAACUGGGUCUAAUACUGGAUACGACAUGUCACCGCAUGGUGGUGUGUUGAAAGGGUUUUGCUGGUUGUGUAUGGGCUCACGACGUAUCAGCUUGUUGGUGGGGUAAUGGCUCACCCAGGCGACGACGGGUAGCCGGCCUGGGAGGGUGACCGGCCACACUGGGACGGAGACACGGCACAGCCUCGUACGGGAGGCAGCAGUGGGGAAUAUUGCACAAUGGGCGGAAGCCUGGUGCAGCGAAGCCGUGUGAGGGAUGACGGCCUUCGGGUUGUAAUGCACUGUCAGCACGGACGAAGCGAAAGUGACGGUACGUGGAGAAGAAGCGCCGGCUAACUCCGUG